CCUACGGGAGGCAGCAGUGAGGAAUAUUGGUCAAUGGACGCAAGUCUGAACCAGCCAUGCCGCGUGCAGGAAGACGGCUCUAUGAGUUGUAAACUGCUUUUGUACGAGGGUAAACGCAGAUACGCGUAUCUUUCUGAAAGAAUCGUACGAAUAAGGACCGGCUAACUCCGUGCCAGCAGCCGCGGUAAUACGGAGGAUUCAAGCGUUAUCCGGAUUUAUUGGGUUUAAAGGGGGCGUAGGCGGUCGGUUAAGUUCGAGGUGAAAUCCAGAGGCUCAACUUCGGAAUUGCCUCUGAUACUGUUAGGCUAGAGAGUAGUUGCGGUAGGCGGAAUGUAUGGUGUAGCGGUGAAAUGCUUAGAGAUCAUACAGAACACCGAUUGCGAAGGCAGCUUACCAAGCUACGUCUGACGUUGAGGCACGAAAGCGUGGGGAGCAAACAGGAUUAGAUACCCCAGUAGUC
Molecule: ribosomal RNA, 460 nt
Filed under: uncultured bacterium
Lineage: Bacteria
Description: partial 16S ribosomal RNA
Rfam family: Bacterial small subunit ribosomal RNA
Source: RNAcentral